CUGCACAAUUUAGCGCAGUCAUUCGGCCACUUGCAUGUCUGAACCCAGGGUUGCUGGGGGUGUGUUUAGCUAACCAAGUGUGACUUUCAGAUGACUGCAAAACAUUUCAAUUAGUUUUUACCUCCGAUAUGAGAAAUGAAUUUGUAAGACAUCAGUACUGCCGCCGAUGAUUUUAGAGUGAAUUUGUGUGAGACAAAGAUCUACGUCCUUUCAAAAGAACGCUCUAUAAAUUACAAUGUGUUGUCGGCCUAAGGCCUCGUUUUUAAUAGAAGACAUACUUCAGCACUCACCAACAAAGACUUCAGACUCUGGGGACUCUCCAUGGCCAACCAGACCGACGCCUGUUUAUCUUAACCAAGUGUCAUCUUUACAUCAUACUUCAGACAUGGCGAGGAUGCCAACACCAACGUCAGCGGCGCGAGGCGUCUAUGUGAGUGAUGGACUUAUAACAGAAGAUAGACUGAGAAUACACGAAUAUUCACAUCAGCGUCACAGCCAGCCUCUGACAGACCCGCUGAUGGAGGAACCUCGUUGCAUAGGUGGGUUCGGGCGCUGUUGGGCAGUGAUGCCUAACUACUCGCUGACCGUUCUGACAAGACAUCACGGUCACAAGAGGAAAGGCGGUCAAGUGAGGUUCUCCACUCAACAGACCUCAACGUUGGAAGGGCGGUUCAGCGAACACAAGUACCUCAGCCCCGAGGAGAGGCAUAACCUUGCAGCCCAGCUCAAGCUAUCGGACCGACAGGUUAAAACCUGGUUCCAGAACCGACGCGCAAAGUGGAGACGGACGAACACGUCGAAGUCUAGAAUGGAUGGCAGCCAGUCACAUGAUUCAACUUCCAGUAAUACUUUAACUGAUGAAGACGCCUUCGACAAUUCCUUAUUGCCAGUCAAUAUUCUGGGCUGAUUCUUCAUUUCCUUGGAAGCAGAACUGCUACUUCCACGAAACACGAGAAGACUGGGUUGUAUGGAAACGACAUCUCCGGAUAUAUGGUGUACAUCGACUUGCCAGCAGCUGCUCUUCAGAUCAAGACAGUGCGUGACAACCAGUGUCCAUUGCUGGUCAACAACUAGCAAUUC
Molecule: RNA transcript, 1080 nt
Organism: Cryptotermes secundus
Lineage: Eukaryota; Metazoa; Arthropoda; Insecta; Blattodea; Kalotermitidae
Gene name: hematopoietically-expressed homeobox protein hhex
Exons: 5
Source: RefSeq, a predicted model, not a curated record